AUAAACUGGUGUCAUUUCAACUUAAUAUUACGCAACUGGUUUAGUUUAUCUUUAUUUUUUAGUUUAUUUGAUAGGAACACACCAAAUCCUUCUCUGAUACGAACCUAUACGAAUAUAUCUUUCCACCUGUAGUCUCCAAUGGCCUAACAUGGUCGACAUUGCAGAAAAACUACCAUGUCAAGAACCUUUUGACUAAAAUGUUUAUUAGUUUCAGUAACAUUUAUUCAUUCUUAUAUAGUUUUUAUUUAAUUUUACUCAACAAACUGUUUAUGGGAAGGUUACAACUUUGAUGUUCACCAUAUUGUUGAAAUGCAAACAAUUAAAGAUACUUAAAUUUCAACUUCAUUUGGUUGAUUUUAUGUUGUUUAAUUUAGCUUUAAAAAAAAAAAAGAAAUACUCAAAAUGACACAUUCAUACUCAAAAACAAUCCAUGUUUCCAGCAUUGUGUAGCAAGUUUUUUUUUUUUUUUUUUAGUGUAGACAAAACAAGAACUUGAACACUGGUACACUCGCAUGCAAACGGGAACUCAGAUACGCAAAUACAUAUGAACAUUUGACCUCUCUUGUAAUUUUUAAUAUGUCAUAUAAGGUAAGGUUUGAUCUUUGAGUAUGAUUGGUUGCUCAGGUCAUCCUGGAUGUUAUUGCCUGAUCUUGUGUGUAUAAAUAUGACACAUCUUCCUUCAAUAAAUCUGGUAUUACACAGGCUCUGUGUCUGCUUGAUCAUUCUUGAUCUGACUGAUAGCACUGAGGAUUCAGAUAGUCUACCUGAAAAUUAUAAAAGCAGGACUGUUUCUGGAAAAUCUUCCUCUGUGAUUCUGAAGGCAACAGUUUGAAAACCAAAGAUUCAUCAUGGCAAUGCUGAGAAGUUUUCUGCUUCUUUUCAUGAUCUUCUCCAUGGAGAAUGCAGGAGAAAAACUGUCGAAGUCUUGGUGCGAAUCUGGUAUCUGUGCGUAAUAAUAGGGAAAAUGGUUUCGUGCUGAGUCUGUUGCCUUCUCCUUCCACACAAUCUUGGGGUGGUGGUCAUGAUAGUGUACAAGAAGGACAGUGGUUGUGGAGUGAUGGAACGCCGUUUUUUUUAUGCCAACUGGUGCCCUGGAGAACCUAACAAUCAGCGUCGUGAGAACUGUUUGGAGAUCAACUAGACCUCUAACCGUUGCUGGAAUGAUGCGACCUGUUCAAAAUUAAAGAACUAUAUUUGUGUCAUGUGAGAUCAUAUGCAGUCAUCCUGUUCCACAGUUACUUUACUAUAAAGUACUUAACUAUAUUUACUUUUUCUGAUCUUAUCUUUACAAAAAUGAUAUUCUGAAGUAAAAUUUCUUCUAAACUUUAAUCUCUUCUCAAUAUCUUCUCUGCAACACUCCUCAAAUUAAUAAAAGCAUUGAUAAAGCAAAUUGUGCAUUGUGGAUAAUCAAAUUUAUGUAUAAAAAUAUACAUAUAUGUAGUAGGCAUGUGACGGUAUCAAAUUUUCAUGUUGCAAUAAUUGCUGAAGCUUUUAUCACGGUAUACGGUAUUAUCACAAUAUUGAAAUAAGUUGCAAAAAAGUGUUGUCAUACUAUAACAGGUUUAAGAAUUAUUUUUCUUAUAACAGAAAGAACUCUGAACAUUUAAAUACAAUAACACAAUACACACACACACACACAAAAAUUCUAAAGUAAAAUGUGCAAAAGAAUAAUAAAGAACAACAGGUAACGCUUUACAAUAAGGUCUCAUUAUUUAAUGUUAGUUAAUGCAUUAACUAAGAUUAAGACUGAGCAAUAGCUACAUUUGUUACAGAAGGUAUGAUUUUUUUUAUUAAUGUGAGUUAAAAAAAUACAUCUGAUCAUUGUUAGUUUUAGCUCAGGUCCAUUAAUAAUUACAACUUUUGAUUUUAGUAAUGUUAUUAAACUUUAACUAAGAAAUUAACAUUAAUAAUUGCUUUAUAAGUAUAUUUUUCAUUGUCAGUUUGGUAAUAAUGAAUUAACAUGUUUAGUAAUGAAGCCUUAGGUCAUCAAGUGUUACUGAACAAUAACAAAUAAUCAGAACAUUUUCAAUCAUUAUAGGGCAUGUUGUAGUCCAGAUUAAAAUAUAAAAAUGGUUUAAGUUUGAAAGUAAAUAGCCUAUUGGUGGAUCCAAAAUGGUCAAUAUUCAUAUUCAUGCAUUUUAUUCAUUUUUCAGGUUAAUCAUUUAUGGCUUAUGAUUUAUCAAUAUUACUUUUGAUUUCAUAUAUUUAUGUACUCCUACUCCAUAUAUUAAUCCUCAUCAUAUUUUCAAGUAUUUACUCUUUAUUGUACUCAUUUAUGGUUAUUCUUCUUUUAUCUUUAAGAGUACGUAUGUGUGCUAUAUUCAAUUGUUCAAGUGUCCCAAUGGGACAGGUCAUGUUGACACGUUUGUGGUUAGAUAUUGGACGCCUGCCAAGUACUGCAGAAGCAAUUGAUGUUUUCAGAAUUAGUUGCUCAUUUGAACUUGAUGUAACUUUAUAUCAAAAUAUGUCAGUUUCUAUUUCUGCAGACAUGUCAUAUUGCAAGAUCUGCAAAAUUCCCUUAUCUAUUUUUCAUCUAUCAUUGAUAUUUGACCAGUCACUCUGACCUAGCUGUUACACCAACUAUGACAUAAUGGGUAAAUCUGUUUGACCUUUUCUUAUUAGACCAAAACAUAAGUUUGAGUGGGAUGUAAGUUUUCCUAUGCUUAUGGUAUAAAAUGGACUGGGUCUUUGAUAGUUUAUCUUUCCUUUGCUCUUUUUCCUUCUCGCAUCUCUUCUGCAUCUUCUGCUUCUCUUCUACCUCUCAUUUCAUUCUGCAAAUGUCUUAAUUUUGUUCCUUCUUUCUCUAUAUUCUGAUCUUCAUCUUCAUCUAUUAGAUACAAUACUCUAGGUUUUGUUAUUAACUAUUAAUUACUUAUUUUAGUUUGUCUCUAUAAUUUUUAAUUAAUAACUUUGUUAUUCCUUAUUCAAAUUUGAUCUCUGACAUAAUCAUUUCUGGACUGCCUGGAUCUCAUUUAUCUCAAGUUUUUGCAUCACCUAUUAACUCUUAAAGUAUUAAAUAUUUGGUGCUGUGAUGAACAACAUUGCGAAUACAAAAAAUUGAAUGGCUGUUUGAAGCAUUUUAAUUACUGUUCAGUAGCGCAGCUGCUUUGUUUCCGGGGUAACCGCUGCACUUCUGCUGUUCCAUCAGCACCCUCUGCUGUCAGAGAGUGAAUGUGCACUUUUAUUCAGCGCGUCUCCUUCACUCGUUCCGCCAUGUGCUUCAUAUGCAUGUCAGGCUUGUUUACAUCUGAGUGCGCAUGUUCUUUUGACGCAGCAUACAGCGGUGUUGUGCAUUUUAUACGGUUGAUGGGUAAAGUAUUCUUAAAAUGUAUUCCUACAAUGGAUUGUAAGCAAAUAUGGACCCCAUUUUUUGUUUUCUGUCUUAUAAAAUAUCUCGGUGUGUAAACGGAUCAGUGAUUGAGUGAACUGUCUGAACUGUCAUAAAAAAAUUUGUUUCUUGAGUCGGAAUAAAGUAAUCUCCAACAUCAGAGAAGGAUUUAUCAGUAAUAUUUUACUGGGGCACUGUGUGUAUUUCACUAGUGUGUAUUUCAAAAGGGUCUAGCGACGCCCUUGGCCAGAUUUGGCAUCAAUUUUUUUUUUUUAAAUGAUCUGAUGAUAGGCUAAUCAUUUUAUUUCAGCGAUCUGCAUCAAAAUGCCAUUUUCAAGAUAACAAAUUGGUUUUAAUUGAUUUUUAUUUUAAUAACGUAGACUACUUCAUUUUAUUUGUACAUGGUUAUCAAUUAGUUUUGCAUGCACAAUUAUUUCGCCAAUUUAUUUUUUUUGAAAUGCGGGCGAUUUCAGUGAGCCAAAAUAUGAGUUGCAUGGAAGUAAAUCAGCGAAUCGAUUUCUGGAUCCAAAAACACAUUUGUUCAUGAACCAAACACUUGGCAUCAGCAUGCCAACUACUACUGUCCUAAGGACGCCCCACAGGUCGACAGCUGUCUCAGAGGAGAGUAGUAAAAUAAAGGUAGGAGACAUCAAGAUCAUUGUUAGUUUUAGCUCAGGUCCAUUAAUAAUUACAACUUUUGAUUUUAGUAAUGUUAUUAAACUUUAACUAAGAAAUUAACAUUAAUCAUUGCUUUAUAAGUAUUUUUCAUUGUCAGUUUGGUAAUAAUGAAUUAACAUGUUUAGUAAUGAAGCCUUAGGUCAUCAAGUGUUACUGAACAAUAACAAAUAAUCAGAACAUUUUCAAUCAUUAUAGGGCAUGUUGUAGUCCAGAUUAAAAUAUAAAAAUGUUUAAGUUUGAAAGUAAAUAGCCUAUUGGUGGAUCCAAAAUGGUCAAUAUUCAUAUUCAUGCAUUUUAUUCAUAUUUCAGGAUAAUCAUUUAUGGCUUAUGAUUUAUCAAUAUUACUUUUGAUUUCAUAUAUUCAUGUACUCCUACUCCAUAUAUUAAUCCUCAUCAUAUUUUCAAGUAUUUACUCUUUAAUGUACUCAUUUAUGGUUAUUCUUCUUUUAUCUUUAAGAGUACGUAUGUGUGCUAUAUUCAAUUGUUCUUCAAGUGUCCCAAUGGGACAGGUCCUGUUGACACGUUUGUGGUUAGAUAUUGGACGCCUGCCAAGUAAUGUUUUCAGAAUUAGUUGCUCAUUUGAACUUGAUGUACCUUUUUAUGAAAAUAUGUCCGUUUCUCUUUCUGCAGACGUGAUAAUUUAAGAGAGUAGUAAAAUAAAGAUAGGAGACAUCAAAAGACAUAAGCGUAUUAAACCAGUUUCCUCUAUAAAAUAUUUUAAUCCAAAAACACAUGACUGAAUGGUGUGAGGCACCUACCUUUUAUUUCAUGCAAGUUUUUAAUCAUCCUCAGUCACUACCUCUGCCUCAACGUUUUCUUAUUUUGGUUCAUUUAUUCAAAUUUGUCUAGUCUUGCCUUAAGAGCUUGUACAAAAUUUGCUUUUAACCCCUAUUUUUGCUGUUGUGCAUUGAUGUGUCACGGCAGUGCACUAGUGCUUGUCAAUGAUUUCCCUUUAGUGUUAUUGCACUUGUAACCCCUUUUCCCAGUGCUGGUUAUAGUACUGUAGGUAGCUAAACUACUGUACUAAACUACUGUCUUCACAUUUUUUAUGAGAGGAUCAAGAUCUUGGGCUUUCUUCAACUGCUGAGGUCUUGGAUGCUCAAGAGAACCCAACUCCAAAUGGGUGGGAAAUGCAUAUGCAUCUGGAAUAACAACGGAUGACACUCCAAGCUGGUCUACCAUUCGUGGAGAAACUUCAGGUGGCAACAACAGAUUGACUUUGACACACAGCUUUAAUUCCUGACAAAGGAAUUUCUUUCCACUUUUCCAGUGACUCCGUGGAACGGUUUCUCGACAAAAGAUCAGCAUCAAUGUUUUGGCGUCCUGGACGGUACUGGAUGGUGAAAUCAUAUGUUGCCAGAGCAGCAAGCCACCGAUGUCCAGUAGCAUUGAGUUUUGCUGUUGUUAGCACAUAAGUCAAAGGGUUGUUAUCUGUCCUUACAGUGAAUCUGACGCCAUAGAGGAAAUCAUGAAAUUUAUCUACCACAGACCAUUUAAGUGCCAAAAACUCUAACUGAUUGGACAGGAUACGCUGCUCUGAAGGACUCAGCUUCCUACAGGCAAAGGCUACUGGUCUUAAACCUUCUGGAUGCUCUUGAUUUAACACUGCUCCCAAUCCAUUCCUGCUGGCAUCUACAUGUAAUAUAUAUGGUUUGGUUGGGUCCGCAAAAGCUAGAACAGGAGCAUUUGUCAGACAGUGGAGUAACCUAUUAAAUGCCUCAGAGCAUGCGUGAUCCCACCUGGCACCAAAAGGCUCGGACUCUUUGAAAUAACAUGGUGACUUGUCUGUUGCAGGUUUUCUGUUACGUUGGGUGGGUGGGGUAAGCUUUUGUAAGCUCUGUCAAAGGUCUCACAAUAGCAGCAUAAUUGGCAAUAAAUCUGCAGUAAUACCCACAAAAACCAAGAAAGGAUCUCAAAGAUUUAAGAUCCGUUGGCUGCUUCCAGCGUUUCACCGCCUCAACCUUUUCCAGAUCUGUGGCAAUGCCAGCUUCAGACACAAUAUGCCCUACAUACCUCACUUGAGGUUGGCAAAACUGACAUUUGUCUAUGAAGAUCUUCAAGCCAACCUCCUCUAAUCGGUCAAGAACCUUCAGAAGGCAUUCUUUGUGUUCUUCCAAGCUCUUGCCGAAGACGAUUAUGUCAUCCAAAUAGACAAUGACUUGAAGAAGAUGCAUAUCCCCCACGGCUUUCUCCAUAAGCCUCUGAAACGUAGCAGGGGCCCCAGUAAUUGGAAAAACCUAACGGGACAUAUAAAAGCUGUCUUCUCCUUUUUUUCUGCCAUCACUAUUUGGUAAUAUCCACUUCGGAGAUUGAGGACAGAGAACCAUUUAUUUCCUGAUAAGCACUUUAGGGCAUCCUCAAUCCGUGGCAUCGUAUACUGAUCAGGAACGGUGCGUUUGUUUAACGUGCGAUAAUCAACGCACAUAGGAACACUGCCAUUUUUCUUCCUUGCUAUGACAAUAGGAGAGGCAUAUGGACUGCGAGACUCCUUCACAACACCAGUUGCCAUUAGCUCUUGAAUGUGGCGGCGUACGUCAUCAAUGUCAGCUGGGGUUAACCAAUGCGAUCUCUCCCUGAAUGGACAAGUGUCGCUGAGCCGGAUUUGAUGUUCGACACCUUUAGCCAGACCUACGUCCCAUUCAUGAAGAGAAAAAAACACUGCGUCGCUCUGCCAGCUUAUGACUCAGUCUCGUUUUCCAUUCCUCAGAAAUGGGUGAGUCACCAAAGUUGAAGAGCUUGGGGUCCAGAAAACAGUCUUUGUAUCAUCCUUCUGUGCCACAGUUACUGUAUCAGUAGCAUACGAGCAAGGACAGUGCCCACAGGCAGGGAGAUUUCUUUUAUAGACUUAUUCUGCAUCAACACAGGGAACUUUUUCUCAUCCACCCAGGAGGAAGGAAGUACAAAGGACUGCACUAACAUACCAGCUGGCAAUGCAAGAGAGCUAGGUGCCUCAACAAGAAGGAUAUCUUUGUCUGUCUGGGAAAAUUUUUCCACUUUCCAGGUGGCCAAACACUCUUUCCUAGGAGCCAUGGUGAGUGGACCCGGGCCUAGCCAUUUCACUUGUCCUACAGCAUCAUCUUUUACUUUCUCCUGGACGGAUAGUUGUUUCUGUUGAAGAACUUGCGAAAUUAUGGGCUGUAGCUUAAGACAUUGAGCAGACAUGGUAUCUGGUAUCUACUGACAGAGAUCAGCUAGCCGUUUGAACAAGUUGGCAUUCAUUUCAAUGAUAACAGGAACUUGGUCUGAGUUGCAAGGUUCUGGACAUACCAAGGCAAGUACUGACAAAGACCCUGAAAUGCCUAGGUCUUUGGGAAACUCAAGGUAUACCACAACAUAUCCUUUGUAUGGGUAGCUUGACUCACUCAGUCCCCAGAUGGCCAAGCCAUGAACUGAAUGGAUUGGUACAUCUGACAGAUGUUUGGAGUACCACUUCUCAAAAAUAAUUGUGACUUGCGAGCCACUAUCAAGCAGAGCUUCACAAGGAUGUCCACAAAUCUUAAUAUCUAUGGUAGAUGAUGGCCCUACUAGUCCCUUGGGAAUGUUAGAUUCUGGUUUCAAGUGUUUCACUGUGCUCCUCUUCACAUAACAGUUUCUCGUUGACUUACUCUGUGUGGAUUUGUUUUCUUCUUUAAGUCUUCAAGGCUUUUGUUGGGUUCUCUGAAGCACUACAUCUGGUAGCAAUAUGCCCAUCUUGACCACAACGAUAACAAAAGAAGUCAUCAGUAUCCUUAAAAGAUGAGCUUCUCGCUUGUAUAGCUGAGUUACUAGAAGUGUCCAUAGAUUGUGUCUUGGGCUCUUUCAACUCAUUAGCAGACUUUACUGCCAUAGUGGUCAAUUGAGUCUGGAGCUCUUUCACUUGCUUUCUCAGGGUUUACAAUUCACUAUUCUGAUCUGCUCUAUCUGACUUCUUUGCCGUAGUAAUACUACUACUGUUUACAAGAGCAGUUGGCGUAGAGCGCCCUUGGAUAGACAACUCUCUUACCAUUGACCACAAAUUCUUUAUUUCAGUGCAUAAAUCAGAGUUCUGAUUGUUCCGAUUUUACAUCCUGACUGAUCUGCGCAGUUCGAACAUGCUGUCUCUUCACAGGUGCACUGAGCUUUCUUUACCUCAGUCUUAAAAGCAACAACAGAAUAUCUGAUUCGGUAGCCCCUCUGAUGAGCUGCUCAACCCGCGCUUUGUCAGCUAACAUAGAAUCUAGGCCUCCUUUCUGCAGUACUUUGGUAAGAGAUCGCUCCACCCUUCUCAAAAAAGCAGAUAACAGCUUACCAGGAUUCUGGCGCAGCAGUCGAAAAGCGAAGUACAGAUCUUCACCUGACUCAGCUGUUCCAAAUGCACUUUCUAAAGCCUCUAUGUAUUCCAUAGGACUUGCGUCUGGAUGGGCCAUUCUCACAGCUUGAAUGAUCUCUAAGGCUGGACCCUUUAGACUUUCUACAAUCCUUCUCCUCUUUUCUUUGUUUGAGCAGUCACACUCUUCUAUCAUGAGUCUGGCCUGAUUGCUCCAGCUGUCUAACAUCUCUUCCCCUACAGGAGUAGCGCUUACACCUGAUAAGGUUCUAAGGCGACGUUCAGAAAUCAUUGCAGUACACGCUGUGCCAGCCAUGGCUACUCUGCUUUUCCUCAAACAAAUCUCAGAUCUUCAUCUUACAUCAAUAGCACAAAAAAAAAAAAAGAAAAAAAAAAAGAAGAAGAUCCCAGUGGUGCCUCCAUUUAUGCAACCCCUUUUCCCAGUGCUGGUUAUAGUACUGUAAGUAGCUAAACUACUGUAGUAAAUGUAACAUGGGAUGGGGACCUGUGUUGGUUUCAAAAUAAAUACUAAUAAAACAAAUAA
Molecule: long non-coding RNA, 8835 nt
Organism: Ctenopharyngodon idella (grass carp)
Lineage: Eukaryota; Metazoa; Chordata; Actinopteri; Cypriniformes; Xenocyprididae
Exons: 5
Source: RefSeq, a predicted model, not a curated record